UUUUUCCCAUGAAUUCCUACCCAUGGACCAUUGUCUAGAUCAAAUCUUCUUUGAGGAGGUGGAGAGGGUUUACACCUCCCUUUUUUAUUUGUUUUGGGAAGAAUGAUAUCUCGGUCAAUAUCAUUGUCGUGCAUCCAGCAGUCACAAUCUGGGUCACAUCUUGUAGGAUCAACAUCCCAGAUGAAGUGGCCAUCUAUUUUAUCAGUGUAGAUGGGUUUUCCUUCUGCUGUAACAGCAUGGACAGGACACCAG
This 252-nucleotide long non-coding RNA is filed under the name Lathyrus oleraceus (garden pea). RNAcentral's name for it is "Pisum sativum (pea) long non-coding RNA (PSAT_LNC016721)". Lineage: Eukaryota; Viridiplantae; Streptophyta; Magnoliopsida; Fabales; Fabaceae. The record is from RNAcentral.